RNAcentral lists this ribosomal RNA (492 nucleotides) under uncultured bacterium. RNAcentral's name for it is "partial 16S ribosomal RNA". It matches the Rfam family "Bacterial small subunit ribosomal RNA", at positions 29 to 507 of the family's 1533-position model. The record is from RNAcentral.
AGUGAACGCUGGCGGUAGGCCUAACACAUGCAAGUCGAACGGCAGCACAGUAAGAGCUUGCUCUUACGGGUGGCGAGAGGCGGACGGGUGAGGAAUACAUCGGAAUCUACUUUUUCGUGGGGGAUAACGUAGGGAAACUUACGCUAAUACCGCAUACGACCUACGGGUGAAAGCAGGGGAUAUUUGGACCUUGCGCGAUUGAAUGAGCCGAUGUCGGAUUAGCUAGUUGGCGGGGUAAAGGCCCACCCAGGCGAGGAUCCGUAGCCGGUCUGAGAGGAUGAUCAGCGACACUGGAACUGAGACACCGUCCAGGCUCCUGCGGGAGGCAGCAGUGGGGAAUAUUGGGCAGUGGGCGCAAGCCUGGUCCAGCCAUCCCGCGUGUGUGGAGAAGGCCUUCGGGUUGUGAAGCCCUUUUGUUGGGAGAGAAAAGCAUCAGGUUAAUACGCCGCUGUUCUGACGGUAACCAAAGAAUAAGCACCGGCUAACUUCGUG